CUCAGAACGAACGCUGGCGGCAGGCCUAACACAUGCAAGUCGAGCGGGGGAGCAAUCCCUAGCGGCGGACGGGUUAGUAACGCGUGGGAACAUACCCUUUGGUACGGAAUAGCCUCGGGAAACUGAGAGUAAUACCGUAUGUGCCCUUCGGGGGGAAAGAUUUAUCGCCAAAGGAUUGGCCCGCGUUGGAUUAGGUAGUUGGUGGGGUAAAGGCCUACCAAGGCGACGAUCCAUAGCUGGUCUGAGAGGAUGAUCAGCCACACUGGGACUGAGACACGGCCCAGACUCCUACGGGAGGCAGCAGUGGGGAAUAUUGGACAAUGGGCGAAAGCCUGAUCCAGCAAUGCCGCGUGAGUGAUGAAGGCCUUAGGGUUGUAAAGCUCUUUUACCCGAGAUGAUAAUGACAGUAUCGGGAGAAUAAGCUCCGGCUAACUCCGUG
RNAcentral lists this ribosomal RNA (439 nucleotides) under uncultured bacterium. RNAcentral describes it as "bacterial SSU rRNA". It matches the Rfam family "Bacterial small subunit ribosomal RNA", at positions 23 to 507 of the family's 1533-position model. The record is from RNAcentral.